AUAGAGAACCUUGCUAGGCUUUGGGGGAUAUGGGUAAUAAUUUCUGUUUUUACUUAUGGCAAGCAACUUUUGAUUCUUCCUAACCCUGCAUGUGUUUUUUUUCUUUUUCUUUUUAGACAACAUAAGUUGCAGGAGAAUUGCUGAAGUUACUCUGAGUGACACAUUUGAGCAUUGGAAUGGGUGGUGAAGAACUGUUGGACUGGGAGCUGGUGCCACUGAAGCAUAAUGGUAAAGAGAUCUGUCUCACCAGUCUGAUCAAAGAAACCAACAUUCAUGGCAGAACAGAUUUCAACUGUGGUAUUUCUGGCUGAAGACACAUAAAGUGCUUGGGGAAGUAAUUUAACAAUGAAGUGAUCUUAUGAUAGUGUUAGAACAGGACAUUAGUAAACAGUAAGAGCCUGACAUGCAGUGGUGUAGAAGAAUCAUUGAUUUGUGGUGUUAUUAUGUAUGGCUGGUCUAAGGCUAUGUCAGAAUAGUGUUUUCUGGCAGCAAGAACCACAGAGAUUGUCUGUAGUUCAUGGUAGCAGUAAAGAUAUAAUUGUCAUAGCAGAAAACUAUAUGGAGUAAUAAACAGUUUUGUUGGGCAUUAAAUAAGGAUAUG
Molecule: long non-coding RNA, 601 nt
Filed under: Anas platyrhynchos platyrhynchos (common mallard)
Lineage: Eukaryota; Metazoa; Chordata; Aves; Anseriformes; Anatidae
Description: lncRNA (ENSAPLG00000016544.1)
Source: RNAcentral